Long non-coding RNA from Carassius auratus (goldfish), 1971 nucleotides. RefSeq lists it as uncharacterized. The record is from RefSeq and is a predicted model, not a curated record. The transcript has 3 exons. NCBI's taxonomy places the organism in Eukaryota, Metazoa, Chordata, Actinopteri, Cypriniformes, Cyprinidae.
AAGUCCGUAAAAAUACAGUACAGUAUACCGUAAUAAUUUAAAGGAAUUGUCCGUAUUUUCUUUUUACAGUCAUUUCUCCGUUAUUUUUUAAUUACGCUUUGCAUUGUGGGUACAAUAAGCUCAGUCUACAAUCGGCGCGAAACCAUAGACAGUAAGCGCGAAACCAGUGCUUUCGCAAGUGCCAUUAUUUACGGAGAUACUCUGUCAAAAUCUCAUUUUAAAAUUGGAUUUAGGAUUUUGAGAAUGGUUCCUACACUUCCUUUGUAAAUUAUUUUUUGUUAAAUAUAACAAACUGUAUCAUUAAUUUUGUUGCUGCCUGGCUUGUUUGGCAAAUGAAUGUCGGAGCCGUUGCAUUCAACAUUUUCAGCAUACCGUCACAUCUUAACGUUAAAUUACUCGACGUGGAGGUACGUGUUGCAGUGGUUGCAGUGCACUCUUUUAGUUUUGUAAAUUAAGGGUUAUUACCUUUUUAUUGUUGUUGAUGCGGUGUAACGUGUUUAUUAAUGAGCGUGUCGUAAAGCAUCAGGAAUAUUAUUGUUUCUGAGGUGAUAUUGAGCAGCUGUGAUAACGUUAAAUCUGAAUUGCGGUACAACUGUGUUUAGAGCCCUUAUUCCUUCAACAGGAGCAGGCAGAGUAAUUGUAAAGAAAAGAAGACACCAUUAACGUUACGACUUUUUAUUUAAAAGAGAUUAUAUGAGCAGAAGAUCUGACAUCACGGAGUUCUUCAAGGAUAACACACCUUUUCUGCCAAACGAGGUCAUAAUUGCUGCUGUACUUUGCAUCCCAAGCCCCCCCUGCAUUCUUAUCACGGGGCAAUCAUUCAGCUCUGAACAUCCUGAACAAAAGCAGAUGACAGAAUUAAAUAGUGGGGUUAAAUAGAUGAGUAGAAAUGGAGGAAAAGUGGAGAAACUGAGAUAAAUGGUUCCGUAUGAAUUCGCACGCUUGUAAAGCUCAGGAAAUGUGGAUUUCAAAUGCCGUUGCCUAGCGUCCAUCUGGGAAAUCUCUGCUCUCUCCCCAACAAAAUGGACGAACUUCUUCUGCUCUCCUGGACAAAUAAGGAUUUCUCACACUCUGCUGCUCUGUGUUUCACGGAAAUCUGGCUGGAUAACGCCAUUCUGGACAGUGCACUCCAUCUGUCUGGCUUCCAGCUGUUUAAAGCAGAUCACGACAGGACAUGCUUUUACAUCAGUGAAAGGUGGUGUGCAGAUGUAACUGUGUUAAAGAAGAUGUGCUCUCUGAUCACUGCCUGGUUCAUCUUAUACCAACCUACAAGCAAAAACGUAAUUCUGCUAAACCUGUUGAAAAGACUGUAAAGAUAUGGACCAAUGAAACAGAGUGGGCUUUAAAAGCUUGUUUUGACCACUGAUUUGAGUGUAUUUGAAGUUGCUUCCACCGAUCUUGACAAACUCACAGAGAUUGUAACAUCCUAUAGUUUCUGUUAGGAUAUAUACAUUCCUACCAGGACCUCUUUAACAUUCAACAAUGAUUAGCCAUGGUUUACAGCAAAACUCAGACAUCUUCGUCAGGCCAAAGAGGAUGCCUAUGGGCACAGAGUCUUGUAUAAAGAGGCCAGGAACACACUGAAUAAAGAGAUUAGAGCGGCUAAAAGAACCUACGCUAAAAGGUUGGAAGAUCAGUUCACUUCCAAUGAAUCAACUUCGGUAUGGAAAGGUCUGAAAUAUAUCACAAACUACAAGACACCAUCCCUCUGCACUGAGGCGAAUCAACAACUUGCUGACGACCUGAAUGAGUUUUAAUGUAAAUUUGAAACCCCCCCACACCCGUUCUGACCAUCUCUCUACACAACAAUUAACGCCUCCUAAACUCCCCUUUCCUGCGCUUCAAAUCAGUGAGGAUGAUGUGUGCCAGGCCUUCAGGAAGAACAAAAGAAGAAAAGCACCAGACCCAGAUUGUGUUACACCAGCCUGUCUGAAAAUCUGUGCUGACCAGCUGGCCCCCAUCUUUUCACCG